AUUGAGGAUUUGAUCCUGGUCCAGGAUGAACGCUGGCGGCGUGGAUAAGGCAUGCAAGUCGAACGAAGCAAUUUGCGAUUACAUCAAGAAUUGUUGAGUGGCGAACGAGUUAGUAUUACCUUGGCAUCUACCCCUGAGACGGAAAUAAUCCCGCGAAAGCGGGACUAAUGCCCGAUAGCAUCGUGCCUCACUAUUGUUCAGCACAAAGUCUAAAUUUUAAAUUAUAAAUUUUAAAUCAUUUUUUUAAAAUUUAAAAUUAAAAAUUGAAAAUUUCGUGCCGAGUAGCAGCGAGGCACGAUUAAAGUCGCAAGACACUUAGGGAGGAGCCUCGGUCCUAUCAGCUAGUUGGCGGGGUAAUGGCCCACCAAGGCUAUGACGGGUAGGGGACGUGAGAGCGUGACCCCCAACGACGGAACUGAGAUUAACGAUAGUCUCCUAAGAGAGUAAUCUCUUAGUAAAACGGUCCGUACACCUACGGGUGGCUGCAGUCAAGAACAUUCGACAAUGGGCGAAAGCCUGAUCGAGCGACGCCGCGUGCAGGAUGAAGGCCUUCGGGUCGUAAACUGCUUUUAACUGGGAACAAGUCCGGCCCUUUCGGGAUGGAAUUUUUUGAGUGAAAAUUUUCUUUUUCGAGAGGGCCGGAUUGAGCGUACCAGUGGAAUAAGGAGCUGCAAACUUCGUGCCAGCAGCCGCGGUAAUACGAAGGCUCCAAGCGUUAUCCGGAUUUAUUGGGCGUAAAGGGUCUCCAGGCUGUUUUGUUAGUCCGGCGUUAAAUCUCACCGCUUAACGGGGAGAGUGCGUUGGAUACGGCAAAACUUGAGGCAAGAAGAGGCAUACGGAACUCAUGGGGUAGGGGGGAAAUCCGUUGAUAUCAUGGGGAACACCAAAUGCGAAGGCAGUAUGCUGGUCUUGUCCUGACGCUCAUGAGACGAAAGCGUGGGGAGCGAAUAGGAUUGACACUCGUCCCGGUAUUCAUUUCAUGAUGUGAACUGUUCCCUUAAGUGGGGUAACGAACGCAACCCCCAUCCCAUGUUACAAGUGUCAUGGGAAACUGCCUCCGUUUAGGGGGAGGAAGGUGGGGAUGACGCGAGAUCAGCGUGGCCCUCUGAUACCCUGGGCUACACGCAUGAAACAAUGGAGCCGACAGAGCGUCGCGAAGCCGCAAGGCGGAGCCAAUCGCAUCAAACGGCCCCUCAGUUCAGAUUGGAGUCUGCAACUCGACUCCAUGAAGAAGGAAUCGCUAGUAAACGCGGAUCAGCUAUGCCGCGUUGAAUACGUUCUCGAACUUUGUACUCACCGCCCGUCACGUCAAGAGAGCCGGUAGUAGCCGAAACCCGGGGUCAGCCCGGACUAAGCUAAGAUCGGUGAUAGGGACGAAGUCGUAACAAGGCAUCGGUAGCGGAAGCUGUCGAUGGAACAUUUCUU
Molecule: ribosomal RNA, 1425 nt
Filed under: Parcubacteria group bacterium GW2011_GWA2_47_10
Lineage: Bacteria
Description: bacterial SSU rRNA
Rfam family: Bacterial small subunit ribosomal RNA
Source: RNAcentral